Sciurus carolinensis (gray squirrel) is the source of this 2983-nucleotide RNA transcript. It is a transcript of the gene named nuclear VCP like, with no coding region annotated. NCBI's taxonomy places the organism in Eukaryota, Metazoa, Chordata, Mammalia, Rodentia, Sciuridae. The transcript is spliced from 25 exons. The record is from RefSeq and is a predicted model, not a curated record.
CAUGUGGUACUGGCGGCCGGAACUGAGGCCUCAGAGGUAGAAGCAAUGAAACCCAGACCUGCAGUGUGCGUGGAUAAUAAGCUCAAGCAGCGAAUCAUCCAGUACCUCACCAGUAAUAGAUGUGGCAAAUAUGUGGACACUGGAAUCUUAGCAUCUGAUUUGCAAAGAAUGUACAGUAUAGACUAUGGUCGAAGAAAAAGAAAUGCUUUUAGGAUUCAGGUAGAAAAAGUAUUUAGCAUAAUUAGUAGUGAGAAGGAAGUGAAGAAUCUGGCGGAAUUAGAAGAUGAACAUCUGGCAAAAAGAGCAAGGCAAGGUGAAGAGGAUAAUGAGUACUCUGAAAGCUCUUCUGAGGAUGAUUCACUUGCGGAAGAUCACCCAGAUCCACGGUCAGCAAAUCACAUGAACAGUUCGCUGCUCUCUUUAUAUCGGAAAGGAAAUUCUGAUUCUGUUUCACAUACUCCAGAGGUGGAGCAAAGAGAAACUACUGCUUCAGCACCACGACUAACUAAAACAGACUCCAUUCCUUUGAAGACCCCUGCAAGAGAAUCUGAGGGAGGAUGGUUUAUUGAUACAACCCCAGAUGGAAAAAGAGACAAUUUUUUCUUAGACCUAUCAGAUAAGAAAAGUAACCAUAAGAAGCCAGUAUCUGACAUCCAGGAUUCAAAAGAUUUUUCUUUUCUGGAGCGUGAUAAUAAAGGGAAGGGCAAGCUAAAAGGCAAAGGAAACAAAAGAAAGAAGGAAGAUCUUCAGGAAGUAGAUGGAGAAAUAGAAGCUGUCCUGCAAAAGAAAGCCAAAGCCAGGGGACUAGACUUGCAGGUAUCCAGUGUGAAGUUUGAAGAUGUUGGAGGCAAUGAUACUACAUUAAAAGAGGUCUGCAAGAUGCUUAUUCACAUGCGCCACCCAGAAGUGUACCACCACCUGGGCGUUGUGCCCCCACGUGGAGUUCUUCUUCAUGGACCACCAGGCUGUGGGAAGACAUUGCUUGCACAUGCAAUUGCUGGGGAACUUGACCUGCCAAUUUUGAAAGUAGCUGCUCCAGAGAUUGUGUCAGGAGUUUCUGGGGAGUCCGAGCAGAAACUCAGAGAUUUAUUUGAACAAGCUGUGUCAAAUGCACCCUGUAUUGUUUUCAUCGAUGAAAUUGAUGCUAUUACCCCUAAAAGAGAAGUUGCUUCAAAAGAUAUGGAACGAAGAAUUGUAGCCCAGCUCCUAACCUGCAUGGAUGAUUUGAAUAACAUGGCUGCUACAGCUCAGGUCCUGGUCAUUGGAGCUACUAAUCGACCAGACGCAUUAGAUCCUGCUUUGAGACGUGCAGGAAGAUUUGACCGAGAAAUAUGCCUAGGUAUCCCCGAUGAAGUAUCCAGGGAAAGGAUACUUCAGACUUUGUGCCGAAAACUGAGACUUCCUGAGACUUUUAAUUUUUGUCACUUAGCACACCUGACUCCAGGCUUUGUUGGUGCUGAUUUGAUGGCACUCUGCCGAGAGGCAGCUAUGUGUGCAGUCAAUAGGGUCUUGAUGAAGGUACAUGAGCAGCAGAAGAAAGAUCCUGAGAUUCAGUGUUUGUCACCUGAAGGAGGCCAGGAAGAAAGACUGGGAACUGAACCCACAUCUGAAACUCAGGAUGAAUUGCAAAGGCUGCUGGGGUUGCUAAGAGACCAAGAUCCCCUUUCAGAGGAGCAGAUGCAAGAACUACGCAUUGAAUUGAAUGAUUUCAUUGUGGCUCUAGCCUCAGUCCAACCUUCUGCCAAAAGGGAAGGCUUUGCCACUGUCCCAAAUGUGACAUGGGCAGAUAUCGGUGCCCUGGAAGAUAUUAGAGAAGAACUCACGAUGGCAAUAUUGGCACCAGUACGUAACCCAGACCAGUUCAAAGCUCUUGGACUGGUGACUCCAGCAGGAGUCCUCCUUGCUGGUCCUCCUGGCUGUGGAAAAACUCUUUUGGCAAAGGCUGUGGCAAAUGAGUCUGGACUAAAUUUUAUAUCAGUCAAGGGCCCUGAGUUACUAAAUAUGUAUGUUGGUGAGAGUGAACGUGCUGUAAGGCAAGUUUUUCAGCGUGCUAAGAACUCUGCACCCUGUGUGAUAUUCUUUGAUGAAGUGGAUGCUUUAUGUCCUCGAAGAUCAGAGCAAGAGACAGGUGCAAGUGUUCGGGUGGUGAAUCAGCUUCUUACAGAGAUGGAUGGUCUGGAAACACGUCAGCAGGUUUUUAUUAUGGCAGCCACUAACAGGCCUGAUAUCAUCGACCCUGCCAUUCUGCGCCCAGGUCGGCUGGACAAAACACUCUUUGUGGGUUUGCCACCCCCGGCAGACCGUCUUGCCAUCUUAAAAACUAUCACCAAAAAUGGCACCAAACCUCCCCUGGAUGCAGAUGUAAAUUUGGAAGCAAUUGCUGGUGACCUUCGCUGUGAUUGCUACACGGGUGCAGACCUCUCUGCUUUGGUACGAGAAGCUUCUCUUUGUGCCCUGAGACAGGAAAUGGCAAGACAGAAGAGUGGAAAUGGAAAAGGUGAGCUCAAGAUUAAUCAGAAACACUUUGAAGAAGCUUUCAAGAAAGUGAAACCAUCUAUAUCAGUAAAGGAUCAAAUGAUGUAUGAAGCUCUGCAUCGCUCCCUCAGCCAGUGACAUACUCAGCAGCUGCUUGGAGGAGUCCAUCCAUCAAGCCAACAGAGCAGACCACCUGCUCUCAAGUGUCCAUUUUUAGUUUGACCCAGAUGUGGUCUCAUGCAGCAAAACCUGCUCUUCCACUUUGGCUGAUCCUGAGCCUGUUACAGUAAUGCCUAGGUGACUAACUCAUGUGGCAGUCUGCCACCAUCCUUCAUCAGCCCCUCACUGGGACCCACCGGAGCCAAGACCUUGAAUACUGGGCAGACAGUGGCAACGUCCCAGCAUGGGGACCUCUCCAGUACAGUGAGGAGGACAGAGCCCUAGUUACAGACCACCACUCAGGCCUGUGACAGGCUUGAAAGGAAGGUCAGGGAGCUGCACUCACCCA